This 32-nucleotide non-coding RNA is filed under the name Mus musculus (house mouse). The record is from RNAcentral. Lineage: Eukaryota; Metazoa; Chordata; Mammalia; Rodentia; Muridae.
UUGUUGACUGAACCAAUGCAUUACUCUGAGGU